Molecule: non-coding RNA, 811 nt
Organism: Trichobilharzia regenti
Lineage: Eukaryota; Metazoa; Platyhelminthes; Trematoda; Strigeidida; Schistosomatidae
Source: Rfam
AGAGAACAAAACCACAUCAAAAUCAUCCACCUGAGCUACAAAUCUUCUCUAUAAUAUCUAAAUAAACAAACUAAUAUGGAAUUCCUUAUUACCACAGUGCCCAAGUUUCACACAUAUAAUAAUAUGACACCAGAAGGUUACCUGGUUUUGAUUUUCAGUUUUAAAACAGACCUUGAAAGGGUGGCCUACCGAUUCAUUUGAACAUUAUUUUUAGAGUUUAAAGCAAGAGGGGUCAGAAAAGUUACCACACGGAUAAUCGGCUUGUAGCAGUCAAACACUCAUAGUGACGUCACUUUUGAUCCUUCUAUGUUGGCUCUUUCUAUCAUUGUGAAGCAGAAUUCAUCAAGUAUUGGGUUGUUCAUCCAAUAACAGGGAAAGUGAGCUUGUUUUGGACUGUUGUGAGACAGGUUAUUUUCACCCUACUAAUGAGUACAUUAACCAUUGAAGUACAAUCUACCUGUUUCUAUAGUAGUCUUGUUUAUUACGCAAGUUCAGACAUUUGGUAUAUGCGCCUGGUCGAGAGGCCAGUGGUUCGGAGUUACCAUCUGAAGGAUUAAGAAUUAACGCCUCUAAGUUUGAAUCCCAUCCAUGUUUGCAAAGGUAUAUUCUGUAUCCGAUACAUGGCUAGGCAAGCUUACGUAUUCCUUCUGGUGUGUCUGGACUGGGCCAUGUGUUCAGUUAGGUGAAUUAAGUCUGCUGUUAUGUCCAAAAGUGCCUGUGAGCAAACGAGUCACAUCUACACUAGGCUAGUUGACAUUACAUUGGGUUUUACCUCAUAAUCUUAAAUGUGUAUUUGAUGGCUGAAGGCAGC